UCUAGUACUACUGGGAAUGUGGGGAGCCGAAGAGCCAGGCAGAAGGGGGAGCUCAGGGCCAUUGCUGAGGGCCAUGAGUGCUUCCCUGGUCUCAUCCAGUCCCCCAAGUCACCGUGGCCCUUUCCCAAGUACAGCAGACUAUUGUCUGUGCUCUGCUUUUUAGACCUCCAAGUAUCACUGGUCUCAAGAUAGGCCCCCCCAACGCCCCCGCCUCCCAACACACACACACAUACACUCACCACCUGACAUCAGGAAGAAACACGUGAGCAUGGGUGAGCCAAGAUCCCAUCCUCUACUUCUGCCCUUCCUGGCAGGAGGAGAUAGAACAGGUUAGAUGGGCAGCCCCACAGUGGGUCUGGGAGGGAGCCAGCAGGCUGGGAGCAGGAGAGACCACUCACCCUCUGGUGGAAUCACAGGCAGUCUUUCAAGUGCUAGUACAGCCCGCCGCCUGGAAGCCACAGGCAUUCGGCCUGUGCAGGCAUCUGACUUACGGUCUAAGGAAGAGAACAGAGGUCAUGAGUUGAGGGUGGAAUGCAGAGCCUUUAGUGCAGAAGGGGGAUGGGGGGUAUGCCGUGUCACUGGUAGCAGGCUCCCGCCUCCUCCACCCCUGCAUGUGGGUAGUGAGCUCUGUUUCCAGCAGUUGCCGGCGGGGACAGACGGGACCAAGCCCAAAGGAGCGUAGGCAGAUCCAAGAAAGGUUCUUCUCUGUGUUGAUACCUGCCUAGCCGUCCUCUGCCUGUGUCCCCCCUCGGCAGGGGUCCAGCUCCGAACGCGGUGCUUUGAGGCCAUCUGCUAGCGCCUCCGGGAGUGACAGUGCAGGAGGGAGACAGGUUGGGGCGAGGUGGGCAGGCCGGCAGCCAGGAGGUUGGCUUGUUUGUGGAGGCUCCAGGCCACGUGAUCAGCAAGCUAACUGCUACCACUCUCCUCCGCAGACCAUGAAAUCCCUGGAGAAUUUUUGGUGACAUGCACUGAGCCAAGGUGAUGGACUGUAUAUUUAAGGAAAGACAUAAAAAGAAAAAAAAAAUUAAAAUGGAAUUGGAGGCCGAACGCCACACAGCUGCCCUCUCUCUCACCCAGUAAAUGCUGAAAGCUCUUAGGACAGGAAAACCUGCCACGGGGCUGCUUCCCUUCCUCCCAGGGCUGGCAGAGGCUCAGGCUCCACUUCGGCUCUCUCCUAGGAUACGGAAACCAUGGCAACGAAAGUAGAAUGUAAAACUUGGAGCAAAGGGCUGGGGGAGGGGGCGCCCAACUGCCUUCCUCCCCCUCCUGGGAGCCACCACCAGUCACCUCUCCGUGGAAGCCAGUCAGAGGCAUUGGCCAAGGAUAGGAGGAGGAGGAGCGAGAACUCUCCAUAGAAUGUAAUUUUCAGAGCAUGUAUAUGUACAUAUAUAUAUAUCUAUUUAUAUGUAAAUAGCAUAUAUAAAGAUAUAUAUAUAUACAUAUAUAUAUACAGUCUACUUUUUAAACUAUGCAGGGAUUUGGUUAUUUAGCUGAUUUCCUCCCUGUUUUAGAAAACAAGGCCUGUGUGGGGAAGGUCACUUGGUCCUUCAAAGGCUAGACAUUGGCCAGAGCUGACAGCCUGAAAGAAAAUCCCCUCAACCCCAGCCUGCUGUUGAUGGCAGCAGUAAUCAUGAUAGUGUAAGUCUAGAGAACUCAGAGGGUGCCAGGGUCAUGAUGAAGCUGGAGGGGAACAGGCUUUCAGGGGAGGAAGUGCCCCUAGGGCCAGGUACCCUGUCAGGAUCCAGUCGUGGAGGCCCCCGGCUGCCUGCGGGUGUGGUACCACCCACCACAAGCUUUGGUCAGCUCAGGUGGGCUCUUGGGCCUGGAGCCCAGGAGCCUUCUGCCCCCUUGCCACAGAGAGCAGGGUUAGAGAGGGGGACCAAGUUCUGCCUGGCCACCCCCCCCCCACCUCAGUCCCAAAGUGGGUUUUGCCUUAUAGAUGCCACAGGGCACAGCUCCGUGUUGUUGCCACUGGUUUUUCCCAAGUCAGGCACCAAGGACUCCAGACGGUUCUUCCUCCAAGAGUCAGCCAGGCGGUGCCCAAGACCCUGGGGCAGCAGCCACCUCCUGAAGAAAGUCCAGGCCUGUGGGCACCUCUGUCUCCGCCAUCCAUGGACAUGCUGCCACCCGGCCUUCUGUUGCACUUUGGACAAAGGCUGCAUCCGAACCUGAAGGGUUUCCUUCUACUCACCUUGAAUGGGUGUGUCCUGGAGCCUGCCAUCGUCCAAAGCCUUACUUCCCUAAGCUGCCAGCCAGGAGGCCAUAACCACCCUCCCAGAAUUUCUCUUGGCUCUUUUUUUUUUUUUUUUCUUUUUUUUUCUUAAGUAACCCCCAACGAAUAAGAUUCUUGCUGGGAAAGGAAGCUUGGUAAAGAAGUGUCAGAUCGGAUUUUUGAACGAGAUCCCACCCUGUGAUGCAACAGCCACCCCAGCUGGAGAGACACUAAGAACUGGACAUGGGCAGGAGCGCCCCACCCUUGGUGGCCCUGGUGCUCUGCUGCCACCUCCCCUACCAUCUGGUCUCCGUAGCCGUCCCCAGGUGGGCUGACCCAUGUGCAAUAAGAACAUAGAUCCUAAAGGAUCCCCUGAGAAGCUGUAUUUCUUGAAUUAGAAUUCUAAAAUUGUACAUCUAUAAAUAUAUGUUUAUUAUGUGA
Enhydra lutris kenyoni (northern sea otter) is the source of this 2653-nucleotide long non-coding RNA. RefSeq lists it as uncharacterized. The transcript has 2 exons. Lineage: Eukaryota; Metazoa; Chordata; Mammalia; Carnivora; Mustelidae. The record is from RefSeq and is a predicted model, not a curated record.